UUUUUUUUUUUUUUUUUUUUUUUUUGGCCACACCACGGCACAUAGAGUCCCCAGGCAAGGGGUCAGACCCAAGCAGCAGCUGCAGCUUAUGCCACAGCGGCAACAAUGCUGGAUCUUUUAACCCACUGUGCUGGGCCUGGGAGUGAACCUGCAUCCCAGUGCUUCAGAGACACUGGAACCCACUGUGUCACAACAGGAACUCCUAUGGUAUUAUUUUGAUUCUGCAAAACAGUGAAAGGUUGUAAAAAAGUAUCCAAGGAUAUUUAUCCCCAGGCUGUCAAUAUCAGUAUCAACAGUAAUAAGAUAGAAUAAAGAGAUAAAACAUUUGAAAUAUAACCAUCAGCUUUAUCUUUGUUUAAAAAAAAAAAAAAAAAAAAAAAAACCUACAACUGACGGGUCCUGAGCUAGCUCAAUUGAGCAGGGAGCUGAAUCGCACCAGCGCCUGCAGGUUUUACCUCCACACCAGGCAGCUGAGCUCUGGGGAAAAGGAGUUAAGAUGAAUCAGAUGCCCUAGACUUCCCUAAACUUUCACUUUUUAAACACUACUAGAGUGAGUUCUCACCCAAGCUAUCCUUUAGGAAAUCCAGUGUGAUGUUGUGCCUAAAGCCAUACAACGCUGAAUUAUCUUCAAAGUACUCCUUAAAUUUUAUCCUCAAAGAUGAACUGAUUUUCUUGUGACAUAUAUAUGCAACUUCAAUUAAUUUUGUUAUUCAGGUGAAAUACUUGUGUUUUCACCUGUUAAUGGAGGCUAAGGAGGGCUUUCUUUCCUCCCAAAAGAUGCCCAGCUUUGCACUUUUGGGGGGUUUUUAAAGUCUUGGUCAUGGCCUCUCACUAAUUCUAAUUAUUAUGCAAUAUACAUCUCUCUAGCAUUUCAUUUUAUGAUGGGAAGAGCAGAGGAGGCUGCAUAAAACUUAAUGUAAGUUUUGCAGCUAUAAGCAAUGAAUUUGUUAUUGUGAAAAUGCUUUGCCUUUGCAAAGUAAGUUAACAAGAAAUUGGUUGUUUCUUCAUGAACGCUAUACCAGUUCUGUAUGUCUUAGAAAAUUCAGGACUAGCCAAAGAAAAAAGUCUGUGGGUAAAUGUAACUCCCUUGAUGUGUGUAACCAAGAGACCUAAGUCAUAUGCACUUACACAAAAUUGUUUAUUGAGUUCAUACCAACAUUCAGACACUGAAGGAGGGAGUUCAUUUGUUUUUCGCAGCAACCCUAAAAGGUAGGAACUAUUUUCCCAAUUUUAGAACUGAGAAGGAGAAAAACAAAAAUCAUUAAGUAAUCUGACUAAGGUCACCCAGCUAAGAAGUGGCAGAUCAAGGUGUCAAACAUCAGGAGAGCAGCCAAGAUGGCGGAGCAUCAAGACUUUUUCCCACGGGCGCCAACAUAACAGCUAUUUACAGAGUAACUACUGACGAGAAAACUAGCAGGAAAGAGCUUCUAUCACUAAAGACAUAAAAAAGGAACUACAACGAGAUGGGUAGGAUGGGAAUGAUGUGAUUUAGUCAAGACCUACACCCCCAAGUAGACAACCCACAAACAGGAUGAUAAUCAUACAAGUGCAAGAUUCUCUCCAAGGAACAAGGGUUUGGAGCCCCACAUCAGGCUCCCCAACUCAGGGUCCUUGCACCACAAAGAGAAGCCCCCAGAACAUCUGGCUUUGAAAUCCAGCAGGUCUUGCUUUGAGGAGAGUCAGAGGGCUUAUGGGAAAUAAGCACUGCAGCCAGAGACCCAGGACCUGGUUCCACAUAUCAGUUGGCCAGGACUAGUCCCAGGACCCAGUCUUACCCAUGAGUGCUGACAUUAGUUCUGGCACACCCCGGACCCCAGCAGUCAGCCACAUCAGGAACUAGCCCUGCCCACGAGAGGACUGAUACUAGCCCUGAGACUCAGGGAGCCUGCAGCCACCGACAUCAAGAAAUGGCCCACCCACCAGCAGAUUGACAUCAGCUAGCUCUGAAACCCUGGGACCUCACAGCCAGGUGACCCCUUGACCUGACCUCAACUCCUGGUAGCCAGAAGCCUUCAUACUAGAUAAGGCCUGGCAACCAACUGGGCCAGGGGCCAGCCACAACCACCAGCUUUCCCACAGCAGUUGGUCCCAACACAAGAGAAGGGCCACACAGCCCAUCUAAUGGGCACCCCUAGAGCAUAUAGUUCUGGUGACCAGAGGAGAGUGUACUGCUGGGCCUGACAGAACUUCUCCCACAGGGGCCAUUUCUUCAAGAUCAGGAAACAUUACCAACCUAAUACACAGGAAUAAAAACAGAGAUUUAGGCAAAAUGAGGAGACAGAGGAAUGUGUUCCAAAUGAGGAACAAGAUAAAACUCCAGGAGAACUAAACAAGGAGGAAAUAAGUUCAGGGCAGUAAUCAUAAAGAUGCUCAAAUAACUUGGGAGAAGUACAGAUGAACACAGUGAGAACUUCAACAAAGAGGUAGAAGAUAAAAAGAAGAACCAGAGUUGAAGAAUAUAAGAACUGAAAUGAAAAAGUACAGUAGAAGCAAUUAACAGUAGAUUAUGAGACAGAGGAAUAGAUUUGCAAACUAAAAGACAGAGGAAUGGAAACAACCCAAAUGUCCAUCGAUAGAUGAUUGGAUUCGGAAGAGGUGGUAUAUAUACACAAUGGAAUACUACUCAGCCAUAAAAAAGAAUGACAUAAUGCCAUUUGCAGCAACAUGGAUGGAACUAGAGAAUCUCAUACUGAGUGAAAUGAGCCAGAAAGACAAAGACAAAUACCAUAUGAUAUCACUUAUAACUGGAAUCUAAUAUCCAGCACAAAUGAACAUCUCCUCAGAAAAGAAAAUCAUGGACUUGGAGAAGAGACUUGUGGCUGCCUGAUGGGAGGGGGAGGGAGUGGGAGGGAUCGGGAGCUUGGGCUUAUCAGACAAAACUUAGAAUAGAUUUACAAGGAGAUCCUGCUGAAUAGCAUUGAGAACUUUGUCUAGAUACUCAUGUUGCAACAGAACAAAGGAUGGGGAAAAAAUGUAAUUGUAAUGUAUACAUGUAAGGAUAACCUGACCCCCUUGCUGUACAGUGGGAAAAUAAAAAAAUUAUUAAAAAAAUAAAAAAAAUAAAAAAUAAAUAAAUAAAUGCUGCUAUAAAUGAUAGAAAAAAAAAAAAAAGACAGAGGACUGGAAAUCACUUGAGAUGAACCAAGAAAAAGAAAAAAGAGUUUUUAAAAAUGAGGACAGUUUAAGAAACAUAUGGAAUGGUGCCAAGUACACCAACACUGGCAUUACAGAAGCCCCAAAUGGAAAAGUGAGAAAUAAAGGGAUAAGAACAUAUGGGAUGGAAAUCCUGUGAAAUUGUAUUGUUAUGAUCAUUCUAUAACUGCAGAUGUGAUAAAUUCGAGUAAUAAAAAUAACAAACAAUCAAAAAAGAACAUAUUUGAACACAUAACAGCUAAAAAGUUCCCUAACCUAGGAAAGGAAAGGAAACAGACAUCCAGGUCGAGGAAGCACAGAGAGUCCCAAAUAGAAUCAACACUAAGAGGUCUACACCAACACAUGUUGUAAUUAAAAUGACAAAAGUUAAAGAUUUAACACCCAUCCUUCUCAAACUGCUCCAAAAAAUUGCAGAGGAAGGAAUACUUCCAAACUCAUACUAUGAGGCCAGCCAUCACCCUGACAUGAAAAUCAGAAAAAGAUAUCACAGGAAAAGAAAAGUACAGGCCAAUAUCACUAAAAACAUGGUUCAAUAUCCUCAAAUCAAUCAACGUGAUACACCACAUUAACAAACUGAAGAAUAAAAACCAUAUGAUUAUCUCAAUAGAUGCAGGAAAAGAUUUUGACAAAUUUCAACAUCUAUUUAUGAUUUUAAAUAUUCUCUAGGAGUUUCUGUCAUGGCUCAGUGGUUAACAAAUCUGACUAGGAACCAUGAGGUUGCGAGUUCGAUCCCUGGCCUCUCUCAGUGGGUGAAGGAUCCAGUGUUGCCAUGAGCUGUGGUGUAGGUCACAGACACGGCUCAGAUCCCGAGUUGCUAUGGCUGUGGCGUACGCCAGCAGCUAUAGCUCCAGUUUGACCCCUAGCUAGGGAACCUCCAUAUGCCACAGGUGCGGCCCUAGAAAAAGACAAAAAAAAAAAGAAAUCCUCCAGGAGUUCCCAUGAUGGCUCAGUGGUUAACGAACCCAACUAGUGUCCAUGAGGAUGCAGGUUUGAUUCUUGGCCUCUUUUAGUUUGUUAAGGACCCAGAAUUGCUGUGACUUGUGGUGUAGGUCACAGACAUGGCUUGGAUCUGGGAUUACUGUGGCUGGGGUGUAGGCCGGCAGCUACAGCUCCAAUUCAACCUCUAGCCUGGGAACCUCUAUAUGCUGUAGGGGUGGCCCUAAAAAGACAAGAAAAAAAAAAUUCUCCAGAAAGCAGUCAUAGAGGGAACAUACUUCAACAUAAUAAAGGCCGUAUAUGAUAAGCCCACAGCUAAUAUCACACUCAAAGGUAAAAAGCUGAAACCAUUUCCCCAAGAACAGGAAUGAGACAAGGAUGUCCACUCUUGCCGACUUUAUUCAUUAUUGAAAGCCUUAGCCACAGUGAUAGGACAAGAAAAUUUUAAAAAGGAACCUAAAUUGGAAAGGAAGAAGUAAAACUGUCACUGUCAUCAGAUGAGAUGAAACUACAUAUAGAAAAUCCUAAAGAUAUCAUCAAAAAACCGUGAGAACUAUUAAAUGAAUUCAGUACAACUGCAGGAUACAAAAUUAAUAUACAGAAAUUGUUGCAUUUCUAUAUACUAACAACAAACCAUCAGAAAAGGAAAUUAAAAAAACAAUCUGAUGUGUAAUCACAUCAAAAAGAAAAAAAUAUCUAGGAAUAAAUCUAACUAAGGAGGUAAAAGACCUGUACUCAGAAAACUAUUAGGUGCUGAUGAAAGAAAUUGAAGAUGACACAAACAUACGGAAAGAUAUACUGUGUUCAUGAAUUGAAGAAAUUAAUAUUGUUAGAAUGACCACACUACCAAAGGCAGUCUACAAAUUCAAUGCAAUCUCUAUCAAAACACCAAUAGCAUUUUUCACAGAAAAAGAACAAAUAAUUCUAAAAUGUGUAUGGAAUACAACAGACUUCAAAGAGUUGAAACAAUCUUGAGAAUAAAGGACAAAGGUGGAGACAUCACACACCCUGAUCUCAAACUAUAUAACAAAGCAACAAUUAUCAAAACAGUGUGGCACUGGCACCAAAACAGAUAUAUCAAACAAUGGAAUAGAAUAGAACCCAGAAAUGAAUCAAUUAUAAGGUCAAUUAAUCUACAAAAAGAAUGCAAGAAUAUACAAUAGGGAAGACACUCUCUUCAAUAAAUUGUGUUGAGAAAAGUGGACAGAUAAAAAAAAUCAAACUGGACUUUCUCACACCAUAUAUAAGAAUAAAAUCAAAAGAGAUUAAAGACUUAAAAGUAAUACCUGGAACCAUAAAGCUUCUAGAAGAAAACAUAGGCAGUAUGUUAUUUGACAUUGGUCUUGGUAAUAUUUUAUUGCAUAUGUCGCCUCAGGUAAGGGAAAUAAAAGCAAAAUAUACAAGUAGUACUACAUCAGGAAUGUUCAGGGUGGUAUGACCAUUGACAAUGGUACUACUUCAAAGUUAAAAACUUUCACACAGUGAAGGAAACUAUCAAUAAAAUUAUAAGGCUGCUUACUGAAUGAGAGAAGUUAUUUGCAAAUGAAAUAUCUGAUAAAGUAUUAAUAUCCAAAAUAUACAAAGAACUCACACAACUCAACAUUCAAAAAAAAACAAAAACAAAAACAGAAAGGACCUGAAACAGACAUUUUCCCAAAGAAGACAUACAGAUGCUAACAGGCACAAGAAAAGAUGCUCAACAUCACAAAGCUUCAGGGAAACAAAAAUCAAAACCACAAUGAGAUAAGACCUCAUACCUUUCAGAAUGACUAUAAUCAAAAAGAUGAAAAACUGGAGUUCCCUGGAGCUCAGCGGGUUCUGAGAUCCCACCAAGAGAUCUGGCAUUGUCACUGCAGUGGCUCAGGUUGCUGCUAUGGUGCAGGUUUGAUCCCUGGCCCGGAAACUUUCCCAUGCCACAGGCGUUGCCAAAGGGGAAAAAAAAAUUCUAAAGACAACAAAUAGAAAGUGUUGAUGAGAAUGUGUAAAAAGGGCACUCUUAUGCACUGUUAUUGGAAAUGUAAAUUGGUGCUGCCAGGAUGAGAAACAGUAUGGAGAUCCCUUGAACAGUUAAAAACAGAACCACCAUAUGAUCCAGCAAUUCCACACCAGAGUAUUUAUCUGAAGAAAUCAAAAAACACUAAUUCAGGGAGUUCCCGCUGUGGCGCAGUGGUUAACGAAUCCGACUAGGAACCAUGAGGUUGUGGGUUCGGUCCCUGCCCUUGCUCAGUGGGUUAACGAUCCAGCAUUGCCGUGAGCUGUGGUGUACGUUGCAGACGCGGCUCGGAUCCCGCGUUGCUGUGGCUCUGGUGUAGGACAGUGGCUACAGCUCCGAUUAGACCCCUAGCCUGGGAACCUCCAUAUGCCACGGGAGCGGCCCAAA
RNAcentral lists this long non-coding RNA (6469 nucleotides) under Sus scrofa (pig). RNAcentral describes it as "lncRNA (ENSSSCG00015020238.1)". The record is from RNAcentral. Lineage: Eukaryota; Metazoa; Chordata; Mammalia; Artiodactyla; Suidae.